This is a long non-coding RNA of Venturia canescens, 2357 nucleotides long. RefSeq lists it as uncharacterized. The transcript is spliced from 5 exons. Lineage: Eukaryota; Metazoa; Arthropoda; Insecta; Hymenoptera; Ichneumonidae. The record is from RefSeq and is a predicted model, not a curated record.
GUAUAUUUGGCAGAUGAAAAUAAUGAAUCUCUUUUUCUCUUAUUCGUAUAAUUAUGGAAUUGUUUUCGCAAGUUUUCGAAGCUAUUACGAUAGUUUUCGAAAGAAUAGUUGAUAAAUCAUUAAUAAAAGUUCAUUGGUGUAUAGUUGGCAGAUCUUAGUUCAAAGAAUCGUUUUUUUUUUUUAAACGAUCAGAAAUCAUUUGGGUAUACAGAACUCGAAAAGUAGUUCGGCGACAAGGGUUCUCAUGUGUAUACAUAGAUACUCCCAUCUGAGACUUGUUUUCGUAAUGAAAUGUCAUGUUGACGUGUGAGGUUAUGAUCCCCAGUGUGCUGUUGUUUGCGGUGUGUAAAUAAUACAUGAAAAUGAAGAAUGUGCAUUAACAUUGGACAGCAAUCAAAUUGAAUCUUGUGAUUACUGGACGAGCAGCAACGGCAAUCGGCAAUGAAUUCGUUCGAGAGAUUAAAACUGUUGUACAUCUUCAAUGUACAUUCCCAAUCUGCCUAUACAAAUAAUGGCAGUCACAGACAUCGGAGGCGCCAACGCAUUUUUCAGCAGUAAACUCAGUCAUUUGUUCAUUACCGAAGGAAACACCACUGUUGAUAGAUUUCAGCUGCAUUUUACACUUACUUUUUCGAAGUGGUACGGGAAAAGAAAACCAUAAAUUGAACAAGCUUUCAACAUGGAAGAGCCUGGUAAUUUGAACAAUAGUAACAAAGAUACAUUGGAGUAUUCGGCACACCAUCCGACUGAAAGCCUCUUCCAAAACCAGAUUUAUACAUACAAUCUUGGUAAACAUUGUUUGAAUGCAUCUGAUUCUCCGUAAUAUAGGAAAUAUUUCAGGUAGUUAGCUCAAAGAAUAUAUUCAAGGUACUACUAAUUUUGUUGUAUAUUAAAUGAGCAAAUCAUUUUUUCUGAUAUUUCAGGAAUGAGAAAUUCUAUAAUUAAUUUUUACUGAUAACAAACGUAUUUUUGACUUUCAUUAAUAAAAAUAAUUCAUGGUAAUAGUGACUCCGUAAAGGAUGCUUGAAUUUUGAUGAUUAUCAUCAUUUUUUACAACUUGCAAAGUAUUCCAGCUCAAUUCCAAGCCUAAAUAUCCUUCAAAAUUAGUUUUCUCAUUCUUUUAAUUAAUCUUUUCAUGCUUUCAUUGGAGGAAUCCUAGGAUCGUUUAGAAGAUGCAGACAUAGACGAGGGUGGUAAAGUUAGCUGGGAGGAAAUAGUUCAAGAUACUUAUGGUUCAGAUGCAGAGGAUCUUGCUGCGGAGGACAGACUCAUCGCUGAUGACAAAGCUACAUUCAAUCUGGCCAAUCUUAACAACGAUGGACUUUUGAACAAAGAAGAGUUCAAAGCUUACACACAUCUCGAAGAGACUCAGAGAAUGUAUAUUCUUCUGUUGCAAUAAGGUCUUGAAGAAAAAGACGGACAAGGGCGGAAGCAUAAGCUUCCAGGAGUUUUUAGACAAUAGAGCUAAAAAUGAGGAUAAAGAAUAGCUUAUUGUUGAAAAAGACAAAUUCGAUUAUGAGCAUGAGGAAAAUCAGGAUGGCAAGCUCGACUCCUCGGAAGUACUGAUUUGGCUCCUGCCCAGUAACGAGUAAGUCUGAUUCAUCUCUAAGUCAGAUUUUUCUUAAUUACUUAAUACAAAGAUACAAAAUUGUCAAAUUUUUUAUAACUACGAGAAAAAUGUUCAGUUUAUAUUCGCAUCAGUCUGAAAGCACGUUUAAUAUCAUAGUAAAUUUUCUCCAGCUUAACGCGGGAUGGAUGAAGCCUGGGAGGAAGAGUAUGCGAUGGUCAUAAUCUACAAACAUGUCAAUUAAUCGGUUAAUUAAUAUAAUCUAAUUGUUAAUCUUAUGUUGAAUUUAUUCAUUUUAGCAUAUCUUUUAGUAAAUGGUUCGAACAGUGGUUACGUUUGCAAUUUGAUUCGACCAGCGGCUGAGUACUGUAUUAAAUCAUGCGUUUCUUCUGCUCUAUAAGCAGGGCUUGGUUCUACACCGGAGAAUCUUCCAGGCAGAGUCAGAUCUCUCACAACUGCGCAUUUAUUGCACAUAACAAAGUACACGACGUUUAUAAAAAAAAGUUAACGGCACAAGCACAACAUUUAUGCAGUUGACGUGUUCGAAUUCGUAAGCCCCCGCUUGCUAGUCAAAAUUCUGGGAGAGUUUUGUGAAUCACCAUGACAAAUGAGCCGAGAUUGUGACAAGUGAAUUCACAAUGGAACCAAAAAUUGACUGCGGCAUCACAGGACAAAUAAAUGAUGUUCAACUGAUGAACAAUGAGAUGUCUUCAGCUGUUAAAUUAAUGAAAUUAUGCAGAAAUGAACAUUCGUUUUAAUUUAAUUAAUAAAUGCAUUGUAUGAUUUAUAA